This 413-nucleotide long non-coding RNA is filed under the name Mustela putorius furo (domestic ferret). Its description in RNAcentral is "lncRNA (ENSMPUG00000031471.1)". Lineage: Eukaryota; Metazoa; Chordata; Mammalia; Carnivora; Mustelidae. The record is from RNAcentral.
CCCAUCCACAGUACUUGAAGAAACAGCUCUAAUUCUUUCAGCAACUCUAGGGUUGGUAACCAAGGAAGAAACAGAAGAAAAAGGGUCUUGUUAUCCCUCUUUUGUCCUGGACCCCAACAGAAGAAUCAACAGGAAGGAAUGAUCAAUUAUAGGCCCCAACAGGGAAAGAUGUACAUCGCAUCUCCGACAAGAUAUUGACUACCUGCAACUCAGCCAAUGAAAAACUGUAACCCUGGACCCAUGCUUUUCUCCAAAGGACUUUUUGUUUAAAACACCUUCUCCUAACUUCCUCCUCCUCCUCCAUAAAACAAUUGUUCCUCAACUUUGUUGUACUUGCCUAUGGUUUUGUCAUAGCUAAAUUGCAUUUCUCUGUUAUUUCUAAAUUGCAUUUCUCUGUUAUUUCCAAAUAAGCC